Molecule: unclassified non-coding RNA, 336 nt
Filed under: soil metagenome
Description: partial contains 5.8S ribosomal RNA, internal transcribed spacer 2, and large subunit ribosomal RNA
Rfam family: 5.8S ribosomal RNA (bases 1-120)
Source: RNAcentral
GAUGAAGAACGUAGCGAAAUGCGAUAAGUAAUGUGAAUUGCAGAAUUCAGUGAAUCAUCGAAUCUUUGAACGCACAUUGCGCCCGCCAGUAUUCUGGCGGGCAUGCCUGUUCGAGCGUCAUUUCAACCAUCAAGCCCCAGGCUUGUGUUGGGGACCUGCGGCUGCCGCAGGCCCUGAAAACCAGUGGCGGGCUCGCUGUCACACCGGGCGUAGUAGAUUUUAUCUCGCUCAGGGCGUGCUGCGGGUCCCGGCCGUUAAAGGCCUUUUUUUACCCAAGGUUGACCUCGGAUCAGGUAGGAAGACCCGCUGAACUUAAGCAUAUCAAUAAGCGGAGGA